AUUGAACGCUGGCGGCAUGCUUUACACAUGCAAGUCGAACGGUAACAGGUCUUCGGAUGCUGACGAGUGGCGAACGGGUGCGUAAUACAUCGGAACGUGCCUAGUAGUGGUGGAUAACUACUCGAAAGAGUAGCUAAUACCGCCUGAGAUCUACGGAUGAAAGCAGGGGACCUUCGGGCCUUGUGCUACUAUAGCGGCUGAUGGCAGAUUAGGUAGUUGGUGGGGUAAAGGCUUACCAAGCCUGCGAUCUGUAGCUGGUCUGAGAGGACGACCAGCCACACUGGGACUGAGACACGGCCCAGACUCCUACGGGAGGCAGCAGUGGGGAAUAUUGGACAAUGGGCGAAAGCCUGAUCCAGCAAUGCCGCGUGCAGGAUGAAGGCCCUCGGGUUGUAAACUGCUUUUGUACGGAAAGAAAAGCAGGGGGCUAAUAUCCCCGGGUCCUGACGGUACCGUAAGAAUAAGCACCGGCUAACUACGUG
Molecule: ribosomal RNA, 482 nt
Filed under: uncultured bacterium
Lineage: Bacteria
Description: partial 16S ribosomal RNA
Rfam family: Bacterial small subunit ribosomal RNA
Source: RNAcentral